GAAUUUAAUCCCGAGUCCACCUUCCUCUGCUGGAUGAAACAUUGAUGAUUGUAUUCUUCCUCCUCAGAAAAAACACAGACGGAACUGACAGGAAAUGGUUUUAUAACUACAACUUUUGCUUUACACUCGGAAAACUUCCCAUACAAGCCUGAUUGGUGGACUGCUGCAGAGAUGGUUGUCCUUCUUGAAUGCUGUAGCUCUGACAAAAUGACCAUCGGGUUCUUUGGUCACCUCCCUGACUCGCCUAAGAUGAAUGCAGCAAUGUGCGGAGACAUCCAGGAUGAAAACCAAGGCUUCUCAUCCAACCUGAUGGAGCUUGAGAGGCGCUGCAAAGAGGAAAGUGCAAAAGUGCCUAAAAAUAGACGAGAGGAAACUGCAAAGAAAUCACCUUUGAGAAAGUGCUGCGCUCCAUCCAAGCACUCUGGGGAAAGUUCAUUGUCACCAAAGGAUCCCAGCAGCUCGCUGACGAUGAUGUCCGCCUUCUCGGGAGCCACCCAAUCGCGCAUGUCG
Nerophis lumbriciformis (worm pipefish) is the source of this 510-nucleotide long non-coding RNA. RefSeq lists it as uncharacterized. The record is from RefSeq and is a predicted model, not a curated record. NCBI's taxonomy places the organism in Eukaryota, Metazoa, Chordata, Actinopteri, Syngnathiformes, Syngnathidae.